GCCUCUGGAAGCGAGUUGGGCUGAUG
Molecule: non-coding RNA, 26 nt
Filed under: Cricetulus griseus (Chinese hamster)
Lineage: Eukaryota; Metazoa; Chordata; Mammalia; Rodentia; Cricetidae
Source: RNAcentral